RNAcentral lists this ribosomal RNA (253 nucleotides) under uncultured bacterium. RNAcentral's name for it is "partial 16S ribosomal RNA". It matches the Rfam family "Bacterial small subunit ribosomal RNA", at positions 524 to 776 of the family's 1533-position model. The record is from RNAcentral.
UACGGGGGGGGCAAGCGUUGUUCGGAAUUACUGGGCGUAAAGGGCUCGUAGGUGGCCAACUAAGUCAGACGUGAAAUCCCUCAGCUUAACUGGGGAACUGCGUCUGAUACUGGAUGGCUUGAGUUUGGGAGAGGGAUGCGGAAUUCCAGGUGUAGCGGUGAAAUGCGUAGAGAUCCGGAGGAACACCAGUGGCGAAGGCGACACGCUGGGCCGUACCUGACACUGAUGCGCGACAGCAUGGGGAGCAAACAGG